RNAcentral lists this ribosomal RNA (433 nucleotides) under uncultured bacterium. RNAcentral's name for it is "partial 16S ribosomal RNA". It matches the Rfam family "Bacterial small subunit ribosomal RNA", at positions 29 to 507 of the family's 1533-position model. The record is from RNAcentral.
AACGAACGCUGGCGGCAUGCCUAACACAUGCGAGUCGAACGAGACCUUCGGGUCUAGUGGCGCACGGGUGCGUAACGCGUGGGAAUCUGCCCUUGGGUUCGGAAUAACAGUGAGAAAUUACUGCUAAUACCGGAUGAUGUCUUCGGACCAAAGAUUUAUCGCCCAGGGAUGAGCCCGCGUAGGAUUAGCUAGUUGGUGGGGUAAUGGCCUACCAAGGCGACGAUCCUUAGCUGGUCUGAGAGGAUGAUCAGCCACACUGGGACUGAGACACGGCCCAGACUCCUACGGGAGGCAGCAGUGGGGAAUAUUGGACAGUGGGCGCAAGCCUGAUCCAGCAAUGCCGCGUGAGUGAUGAAGGUCUUAGGGUUCUAAAGCUCUUUUACCCGGGAUGAUAAUGACAGUACCGGGAGAAUAAGCUCCGGCUAACUCCGUG